RNAcentral lists this long non-coding RNA (1273 nucleotides) under Numida meleagris (helmeted guineafowl). Its description in RNAcentral is "lncRNA (ENSNMEG00000018086.1)". The record is from RNAcentral. Lineage: Eukaryota; Metazoa; Chordata; Aves; Galliformes; Numididae.
UGGUAUGUGGGGCAUAGAACAAGAAACAGCCUUAAAUGCUGCCAUAUCACAGGGGAUAACUGAUAAGAAAUGCAGGAGCCAGAGCAUGGUACAUUCAGCCAUUCAAUCACAGAGCAUCGGUGAAAAAACAUUCACGUGGAAGUAAAAGCUUUCUGAGGUGGGGUUACAUAUUUAUGCCAUCCUACAUAUGCUACAAACAUCUUUGUGGGAAGUAUCAAAGAAGCUUUAUAGUACAAGACGUUGUGAAGAUGGUUCUUUCCCCAGUUGGAUACAGUGACUUACAUGUAAGUGGAGAAGGUUGAAUAACAACCACUGAAUAAUUUAUUCAAGGAAACUCAACUCUUUUCCUGUAGCCCUUGUUUGAUGAAUAUCUGUGUAAGCACAGAGACUCCUUUGUGCCUGACUGUUGUGGUGCAGUAAGCAACCUACUAAGGCAUGAUUGCUUAGUUUCAGGUCAUUCAAGUCACUGGACCUGAGUGGACUAGAACAUUUGUGGUGAUAGAAUAUAGUGGAUUAGGCCUUGAGAUCCAUUUCUUGCUUCAUUUUUCCUCUGAAUUUGAAUUUUCGGGUCUUCCUUGAUGUCCCUAAGGGUUCCUUUUCAUCCAAAAGAACAUCGCCCUCCAAGGUUUUUCAUGCUGCAGCCUUCCUCUCUUUUAGCUAGGAAAACACAAUUGAAAUUCACAUCCCAUAUAUUUCAGUAGCCUUUAUUAUUUUAAGGAUGACUCUCCCACUGGGAUGAGGAGGUCAUAUUUGAUCAAGGCUCGGGUACCAGGUGAGAUUGUAACCUCAUGAUGACUGGCAUGCAUGAUGCCAAACUGGCAUACAAAUUGUGGCAGAGCAGCAGAGCUACUGCAUUCCCUGACAACGAGGAAUGAACAAAACCUGGCUUCUGAGGAGCACGGACCACCAAAGCACGCUAAGGCUGUGCUCUGCAGUGCAUCUGGAAAGAGCGACUGCAUUUAUCUUUCUGCAGGAGCAGCCUUAGCAUCGCUGAUGGUCUGGACACAGGCUGCUACACGUAGCUGACCUCAGUACUCAGUCACGUCUCAUGGAAAAACUGUCCUGGAACAGAGCCUGUAGCUCUGGAAAUGCUGACGAUCAAAGCACCAGGUGAACAACAGCUCCCAGGGCCUUGCACACACUCUGCAAGUACCAACCUCCUUGGCUAAUCACUCUUAGGAUGCUGACAAAGGAGCUUGUUUCACCAGCUUUAUGCUACGCAGGAACAAGUGGCAAAAAGAAAAAUAAAUUUAUGAGUUAUUAUUAUUAUUCA